RNAcentral lists this ribosomal RNA (429 nucleotides) under Chloroflexota bacterium. RNAcentral's name for it is "Chloroflexi bacterium partial 16S ribosomal RNA". It matches the Rfam family "Bacterial small subunit ribosomal RNA", at positions 355 to 776 of the family's 1533-position model. The record is from RNAcentral. Lineage: Bacteria; Bacillati; Chloroflexota.
UGGGGAAUAUUGCACAAUGGGCGCAAGCCUGAUGCAGCCAUGCCGCGUGUAUGAAGAAGGCCUUCGGGUUGUAAAGUACUUUCAGCGGGGAGGAAGGGAGUAAAGUUAAUACCUUUGCUCAUUGACGUUACCCGCGGAAGAAGCACCGGCUAACUCCGUGCCAGCAGCCGCGGUAAUACGGAGGGUGCAAGCGUUAAUCGGAAUUACUGGGCGUAAAGCGCACGCAGGCGGUUUGUUAAGUCAGAUGUGAAAUCCCCGGGCUCAACCUGGGAACUGCAUCUGAUACUGGCAAGCUUGAGUCUCGUAGAGGGGGGUAGAAUUCCAGGUGUAGCGGUGAAAUGCGUAGAGAUCUGGAGGAAUACCGGUGGCGAAGGCGGCCCCCUGGACGAAGACUGACGCUCAGGUGCGAAAGCGUGGGGAGCAAACAGG